This 349-nucleotide unclassified non-coding RNA is filed under the name soil metagenome. Its description in RNAcentral is "partial contains 5.8S ribosomal RNA, internal transcribed spacer 2, and large subunit ribosomal RNA". The stretch from base 1 to 121 matches the Rfam family "5.8S ribosomal RNA", at positions 35 to 154 of the family's 154-position model. The record is from RNAcentral.
GAUGAAGAACGUAGCGAAAUGCGAUAAGUAAUGCGAAUUGCAGAAUUCCAGUGAGUCAUCGAAUCUUUGAACGCACAUUGCGCCCGCCAGUAUUCUGGCGGGCAUGCCUGUCUGAGCGUCAUUUCAACCCUCAUGCCCCUAGGGCGUGGUGUUGGGGAUCGGCCAAAGCCCGCGAGGGACGGCCGGCCCCUAAAUCUAGUGGCGGACCCGUCGUGGCCUCCUCUGCGAAGUAGUGAUAUUCCGCAUCGGAGAGCGACGAGCCCCUGCCGUUAAACCCCCAACUUUCCAAGGUUGACCUCAGAUCAGGAAGGAAUACCCGCUGAACUUAAGCAUAUCAAUAAGCGGAGGA